This 376-nucleotide ribosomal RNA is filed under the name uncultured bacterium. Its description in RNAcentral is "bacterial SSU rRNA". It matches the Rfam family "Bacterial small subunit ribosomal RNA", at positions 521 to 896 of the family's 1533-position model. The record is from RNAcentral.
UAAGACGAACCGAGCGAACGUUGUUCGGAAUCACUGGGCUUAAAGGGCGCGUAGGCGGGCUGUCAAGUUUGGGGUGAAAUCCCGCGGCUCAACCGUGGAACUGCCUCAAAUACUGACGGUCUCGAGGGAGGUAGGGGCGAGCGGAACUGAUGGUGGAGCGGUGAAAUGCGUUGAUAUCAUCAGGAACUCCGGUGGCGAAGGCGGCUCGCUGGACCUCUUCUGACGCUGAGGCGCGAAAGCCAGGGGAGCAAACGGGAUUAGAUACCCCGGUAGUCCUGGCCCUAAACGUUGAGAACUAGGUAGUGGACUAGACAUGGGUUCACUGCCGAAGCAAAAGUGCUAAGUUCUCCGCCUGGGGAGUAUGGUCGCAAGGCUG